GUUCAUGGAUAACUUAGAAAACUGCAAGAAAAAGGCAAUCUUCUCCGUAGCCUAAUCUCCAGAAACCUAUAGACUCCGUUUCCUAGAGCCCUAGUACCACCCUCACCAAGAUGGGAGGGGGUUUAAGUGCCAGCCAUGAUGAUGUGGGAAACUAAGGCAAGUGAGAAAUUAAAUUCCCUUACUGCCUACAGCCCACUGACAAGUCCUCGAGGCCAGCAGAGUGACCUCCCUCUAGGAGCUCAGCUGCCUCGAUGAUGACACUUUGCUAGGGGCAAAAGGAAAUCUUGGGUUAACAUUAUCCUGACGCCCCAGGAUCCUGUAAGUCUACUGUACCAUAUAAAAAUUCUUUUGGAAACUUCCUUUAUCUCAACUCCCCGGAGAUAUAUGCUGGCAAUCAUACUCCAGGCUUCUGGCCCCUGAUAUACAUCUGAGGGGUCUCAUGACUGAAGUUUUACUAAAUGGUAAUACAUUGCAUUUUCCUACCAGCAGCUGGCCCCUCAAGAUCCUGGAAACCUUGCUUCCAAAAUUCCUUAGAAACUUAUGCUGUUCCUGACCCCCCUCCUAACCUGAGGGUAUCUAAUCCGUUACUCGUCACAACCCCAGUGCAGCUCUUUUGCCCACGGGUCCUGUCCCCGUGCUUUCAUAAAAUGACCUUUUUGCACCGAAGAUGUCUUCAAGAAUUCUUUCUUGGCCAUCAGCUGUGAAUCCCAACAUCACCCCAAGACCUCACCAAAACCAUCAGACACGCUGGGCUUUGUCCCCCACUGCUUCUCCCCGGGCAGACAUCUGGUGAGGACACUGCCCGGAAAGAAGGUAGAGGCUUCAGCCUCUGGGGGAGACGAAGCCUCAGAGAGGCUCACCUGAGGAAGAGGACGGGCGUGCUCCCAAGGGAGGCGGCACAACACCUCCCUGAUGGUGAUGAGAAGUGACCCUCUGCUUUGCUGUAACCACCCACAGUAAUAAAGACAGAAAAGGUAAAGUGGGAGGGCCAAGGAGGGACUAGCUGCCCUACACACACACACACACACACACACACACACACACACCUUGGCCCAGUCUUUCCCUAAGGGCCUAAUCCAGGAACCGAGCGAGAAGGAGGCGGCUGCCGGCUACAUGGAAUGUAUCUGCUGGGGCGUCGGCUGAACUUAAUGGGGGCUGGAAGGAAACAACUGGCUGCCGGAGCACAGGAGACAAAAAUCCCCAGUAGUGUGGGAGGUGGGGAUUCCUCCCGGAGGAGGCUUCGCCCUGGGUCACAUACACCUGGGUGAGGUGGCGUUUCUGGUGUGGGGGGCUGCCCAACCGAAGGUGGGCCUCGUGCCGACUCAGGCCGACUCAACGGAAAACGUUAGCUGAGGCCUCCUCUCCCUGUCCCGUGUCAGUACGUGGUCCUUCGGCCGCAUGGGUAUGUGGUCUAAAAAAGCCAGCGCUUGGAGCCCAGUUUGGGGGGACCCAAGUUUACCGGAGGUCAAAUCUGCAUGAACAUAAGCCAAAGCACAAAGCGGGCCAACUGAAGAAUCGGCUGGUACUGAUGAGGGAGCGUGGGGUGGGCUGAGGACAGAAUGCAAGCUAGCACCCCCCCCCCCCAGGGUGGGGUAUGUGUGACAUUCCUCAGGUACUCCUGGCUGCCCAAGGACAAAGGAAAGGAGAGAAAACAAAUGGUUAAGUGAUAGAGAUUACAGUCAUACAGGGCAUGAGUCCCCAUCAGUUUGCAAAUAUCUUAGUAAAUUACAAGAAAAAGGCAAUCUUGUCAAUAGCUUAAUGUCCAGAAACCUAUAGACUCAGUUUCCUGGAGCCCCAACAUCACCCCUCCAUAAUGAUGUGGGGAACAAGGGCAGGAAGGCAAUGGCAGGUAAAAUUAAAUUUCCUUAUGACCUGCAGCCCAUUGACAAAUACUUGAGGCAAAUACAGAGUAUAACAUUUCUCCAGGAAACCCUGCUGCCCUAAUGCCAAUGCCUUACUAGAGGGAAAAACAACCUUAGCUUGACAACAGCAAGGUCUCAGGUAUCUUAGGAAUCCUCUUUAGCACAUCAAAGUCCCUCUGCAGGCCUCCCUUUUGUCUUGACCUCCCCAACUCCAGAGUAUAUAACCAGCCACUCUUCACAACCCCAGUGCAGCUCUUCCUGCCCACGGGUCUUGGUCCCGUGCUUUAAUACAAUCACCUUUUUGCAUCAAAGACGUCUUCAAGAAUUGUUUCUUGUACGUCGCCUCCAGAACCCCCACCAUCAUCCCAAAACUUCAUCAUAUGGUGCCCAGCUUGGGGCUACAAGUCCUUCCAUCUGGACUCUGAGCUGGUGCAAACCCCGAGGAGCAUGGGAGCAUCUCUUCGGUCCCCAAGGGUUCUCCUUUGAGAUGCCUUUUAACCACUGGGAACAAUUUGGAUUGCAAAAUGUAGACAAGGACUGAUCUCCUGUAACACUGCAUGGCCUUAAACAGGGCAAAGGAACACAGGAGAUGCUGGAUGGUGACUAACUUAUCGUGGUAAUCACCUCACGACGUAUGUAAGUCACAUUAUUAUGCUGAACCCCUUAAACUUAUACAGGGCUGCGUAUCAAUUGUCUCUUAAUAAAAAGGGGGAAAUUUUUCUUCAAGAAUUCAUGCGUCGAGUUUGGAGACGGAGGAGAACAAGAUGCCUUUUUUCUGAUUUGUUUCCUGUGGCUCCUUUUCCCUUCAGAACUCCAUUGAGAGAGCACUAGGCAAGCCCGGGGGGCGGAAAUCAACUCAGCCAAAUUCACCAAACUGAAGGGUUUCUUUUCCUGAGCUUUGCUUUGCCGGCCUGACAAAGCAGAGAGGCCCGGGCCUCCCAAGCCCUGGCCAGACCUGCCCGGGAGCCCCGUGCCCGGUCUCCGGGGCCCGCUUUGUCCGGCUGCCUGUCUGGCCUCCCCAGGUCCACCUGUGCUCGACCUUUCCGUCUCAAACCUACUCACACUCUCUGCAGCAAGGCCAAUAAGCCCACCCUGAGUUUUCCUUUUCUGCUUUAUUUUCUCCUUAUUCUAUUUUUUUUUCUCCAAAUUAUCCUUUGAUACAAUUUAGGGUUUUCUAUGGUCACAAACAAUCCUCCCUUGAUCCAUUGACCCACAAAUCAGCCAUCACUGACUAAGCCAAUGAAAAAGUAUUUGGAAUUAAUACAUGGAAGAAUCCAGCCUGAGGUAAUAGCCAGCCCCCAUCAGUGACAAGUUCCAGACAAGGUCUUCAGCAUAGGUCACAAAAAGGAAGAUAGAAAUUUGAGGUGUUAGAAAUUUCUCAGUAGAACUUUGACUCUUGCAUUUGGUAGUUACAGAAUUUUGAAUGUGACCGAUAUCCCUAAGGCAUAAUUCUCCCCUAACAUUUCUACCUUUGUUAGGUGGGUGGAACUUUGCUUGAAAUUGUUUUUUAUAGUCUGUUUCCUCUAACCUUCAAGGUACUCCUCGCUGUUUUAAGAAUUAAAAUCGACAGGAAAAAAAGAAUUAAAAUUGACAGGAGACAGACUAACAGGAGAAUCAAAAUUACAUAUAUGGGGAGAAGCCACCAUAAACAUGAGAGAUUUCAGACAGAUAAAAUGAGGUAUAAAUGUCCUUCUGGACUAAGGAGGAGGAGUGAGGAGUCUGGGCUUCAGAGGGAAGGAGGACAAUUCACAGGAAGAAUGGAAAGAUGUUUGGUAAACAAAUCUUUAUGGGUCAUAGAGACAAUGGGACUUAGAGAAGAAUUUUAACAACCAGAUUUUACUAACUUCCUGCCUACCACCCCUAGUUCAUAUUAUAAUGUAGUUGUCCUUGGUGACUGCUCCUUUCCUGGAGCGGGUGCUCUAUCUAAAUUCUUUUUUUUUUUUUUAGUUUUUUAAAAUGUUUAUUCAUUU
Molecule: long non-coding RNA, 3832 nt
Organism: Leopardus geoffroyi (Geoffroy's cat)
Lineage: Eukaryota; Metazoa; Chordata; Mammalia; Carnivora; Felidae
Exons: 3
Source: RefSeq, a predicted model, not a curated record